RNAcentral lists this ribosomal RNA (253 nucleotides) under uncultured bacterium. RNAcentral's name for it is "partial 16S ribosomal RNA". It matches the Rfam family "Bacterial small subunit ribosomal RNA", at positions 524 to 776 of the family's 1533-position model. The record is from RNAcentral.
UACGUAGGGUCCGAGCGUUGUCCGGAAUUAUUGGGCGUAAAGGGCUCGUAGGCGGUCUGUUGCGUCGGGAGUGAAAACUUACAGCUUAACUGUGAGCGUGCUUCCGAUACGGGCAGACUUGAGGUAUUCAGGGGAGAACGGAAUUCCUGGUGUAGCGGUGAAAUGCGCAGAUAUCAGGAGGAACACCGGUGGCGAAGGCGGUUCUCUGGGCCGUAACUGACGCUGAGGAGCGAAAGCGUGGGGAGCGAACAGG